AAGACCAAUUGAAGAUCCAUAGGAGUUUCUAUCAAGGAUUGAACAUAGGAUUGAAGAUAGAAGACCAAAAGCAACGAUUGAAAGAAGAACAAGCCGUUUUCUCUUCAUCAAGAUGAUGGUUAGGGUUUAUUUUGAUUUAUUUUCUUCUAACAUCAUGAGUAGCUAAUUCUGUAGAGAUUCUUGGUUGAGAUGUAGGAAUUGAGCCAUGAUACCUGUUUUGAAUGUCUAAGAACGACGAUUGUGGAUGUUUGGAUUGUAAUGAAAGAUUACCCGUUUGAUUGGUUUUCAACCUAAUUCUUGUUA
RNAcentral lists this long non-coding RNA (303 nucleotides) under Linum usitatissimum (flax). Its description in RNAcentral is "long non-coding RNA (LUSI_LNC003107)". The record is from RNAcentral. Lineage: Eukaryota; Viridiplantae; Streptophyta; Magnoliopsida; Malpighiales; Linaceae.